Molecule: ribosomal RNA, 457 nt
Filed under: uncultured bacterium
Lineage: Bacteria
Description: bacterial SSU rRNA
Rfam family: Bacterial small subunit ribosomal RNA
Source: RNAcentral
GAUGAACGCUGGCGGUAUGCCUAACACAUGCAAGUCGUACGAGAGUUUUUAACUCUAGUGGCGGACGGGUGAGUAACACGUGAGAAUUUGCCUUUAGGAGGGGGAUAACAAUUGGAAACGAAUGCUAAUACCCCAUAUGCUUUUGAGUGAAAUGGAUUUUAUCCGCCUAGAGAGAAGCUCGCGGCUGAUUAGCUUGUUGGUAAGGUAAGAGCUUACCAAGGCGACGAUCAGUAUCUGGUUUGAGAGGACGAUCAGACACACUGGAACUGAGACACGGUCCAGACUCCUACGGGAGGCAGCAGUGAGGAAUAUUGGACAAUGGGCGCAAGCCUGAUCCAGCCAUGCCGCGUGCAGGAUGACGGGUCCUAUGGAUUGUAAACUGCUUUGUACAGGAAGAAACACCUCUACGUGUAGAGACUUGACGGUACUGUAAGAAUAAGGAUCGGCUAACUCCGUG